AUUGAACGCUGGCGGCGUGCCUAAUACAUGCAAGUCGAACGGAGUGGCGCACGGGUGAGUAAUAUAUAGCUAACCUGCCCCUUGCUGGAGGACAACAGUUAGAAAUGACUGCUAAUACUCCAUAGCAAGGGAUGAGACUAUAUCGUAUCAGAUAGUCGGUGGGGUAACGGCCUACCCAGGGUAUGACGAGUAACUGGUCUGAGAGGAUGAUCAGUCAAAUUGGAAGUGAGACACGGUCAAAACUCCUACGGGAGGCAGCAGUAGGGAAUAUUGCGCAAUGGGGGAAACCCUGAAGCAGCAACGGCGCGUGGAGGAUGACACGUUGCGGAGCGUAAAAUCAUGUUGUUAGGGAAGCGGUACCUAACGAAUAAGCACCGGCUAACUCCGUGCCAGCAGCCGCGGUAAUUC
Molecule: ribosomal RNA, 408 nt
Filed under: uncultured bacterium
Lineage: Bacteria
Description: partial 16S ribosomal RNA
Rfam family: Bacterial small subunit ribosomal RNA
Source: RNAcentral